CAGUGGUAAAUUGAAGGAAGUAAUAUUAGGACUCCCCAGUAAGAAGAUGGCUUACAAGGCCUUCUUUAGAGCAAGCAUGGUGGCCAGUGGUGCCCUCAGGCUCCAUAACAAAACAAAUGGACAUCCUCAUAGAUGACACCGUGAAGCUACUUGAAGCCAUGCGAAGGGAGAGAAAAGCUUUGGAAUCCCUAGAGGAGAACCUGGACUGCAUCACCAUGGAACAAAUGCUUGAUUUUGAAUUGGGGGCUGCUGCACCUGUCACCACCACUCUCCCUGCAGCGGCUACUGCUGCUUCCAG
Molecule: long non-coding RNA, 298 nt
Organism: Eriocheir sinensis (Chinese mitten crab)
Lineage: Eukaryota; Metazoa; Arthropoda; Malacostraca; Decapoda; Varunidae
Exons: 3
Source: RefSeq, a predicted model, not a curated record